RNAcentral lists this ribosomal RNA (253 nucleotides) under uncultured bacterium. Its description in RNAcentral is "partial 16S ribosomal RNA". It matches the Rfam family "Bacterial small subunit ribosomal RNA", at positions 524 to 776 of the family's 1533-position model. The record is from RNAcentral.
UACGGAGGGUGCAAGCGUUAUCCGGAUUCACUGGGUUUAAAGGGGGCGUAGGUGGGUUGGUAAGUCAGUGGUGAAAUCUCCGAGCUUAACUUGGAAACUGCCAUUGAUACUAUCAGUCUUGAAUAUUGUGGAGGUCAGCGGAAUAUGUCAUGUAGCGGUGAAAUGCUUAGAUAUGACAUAGAACACCAAUUGCGAAGGCAGCUGGCUACACAUAUAUUGACACUGAGGCACGAAAGCGUGGGGAUCAAACAGG